CCUACGGGAGGCAGCAGUGGGGAAUAUUGGACAAUGGGGGGAACCCUGAUCCAGCGACGCCGCGUGAGUGAAGAAGUAUUUCGGUAUGUAAAGCUCUAUCAGCAGGGAAGAAAAUGACGGUACCUGACUAAGAAGCCCCGGCUAACUACGUGCCAGCAGCCGCGGUAAUACGUAGGGGGCAAGCGUUAUCCGGAUUUACUGGGUGUAAAGGGAGCGUAGACGGUGCAGCAAGUCUGAUGUGAAAGGUCGGGGCCCAACCCCGGGACUGCAUUGGAAACUGUUGAACUGGAGUGCAGGAGAGGUAAGUGGAAUUCCUAGUGUAGCGGUGAAAUGCGUAGAGAUUAGGAAGAACACCAGUGGCGAAGGCGACUUACUGGACUGUAACUGACGCUGAGGCAUGAGAGCAUGGGGAGCAAACAGGAUUAGAUACCCUAGUAGUC
RNAcentral lists this ribosomal RNA (440 nucleotides) under uncultured bacterium. Its description in RNAcentral is "partial 16S ribosomal RNA". It matches the Rfam family "Bacterial small subunit ribosomal RNA", at positions 338 to 795 of the family's 1533-position model. The record is from RNAcentral.